This 507-nucleotide ribosomal RNA is filed under the name uncultured bacterium. RNAcentral describes it as "bacterial SSU rRNA". It matches the Rfam family "Bacterial small subunit ribosomal RNA", at positions 29 to 507 of the family's 1533-position model. The record is from RNAcentral.
AAUGAACGCUGGCAGCGUGCCUAACACAUGCAAGUCGUACGAGAAAUCUUCCGCUUGCGGAAGAGAGUAAAGUGGCGCACGGGUGAGUAACGCGUGGGUAACCUGCCCCUGAAUUUGGGAUAACUCCGCGAAAGCGGGGCUAAUACCUAAUAAGACCACUACCGCUUCGGCGGCAGAGGUAAAAGCUGACCUCUCCAUGGAAGUUAGUGUUUGGGGACGGGCCCGCGUCCUAUCAGCUUGUUGGUAGGGUAAAGGCCUACCAAGGCAACGACGGGUAGCUGGUCUGAGAGGAUGAUCAGCCACACUGGAACUGGAACACGGUCCAGACUCCUACGGGAGGCAGCAGUGAGGAAUUUUGCGCAAUGGGCGAAAGCCUGACGCAGCAACGCCGCGUGGGUGAAGAAGGCCUUCGGGUCGUAAAGCCCUGUCAGGUGGGAAGAAUCGUUCCGGCACUAAUAAUGCCAGAGCCUGACGGUACCACCAGAGGAAGCACCGGCCAACUCCGUG